GCUUCCCCCAGAGCGCUACUUACUCCUCGGAGCUCCCCUCCUCUUCCCCCCUGCGAUCGCGCCCAAUCCCCUCCGUUCGAGAAACCCUAGCUGCUCCUCUCCUUCUCCGCAGCGAGAAGAGCCUCCUCCCUCACUGAGUUUCUCCAUCGUUCUCGUGGCUCCUCCCCAGUAGCGGACGUGAUCGGUCCCUCGCGAAGCUAGGGUUUCUCAUAGCGGAAGAGGUGAUACAAAUCCUCGUUCGCGCGCGCCUAUAUUCGGAUUUUCGAGUAGCUAGUAUGCGAUGGAUGAGUACAAGCGUUCUAUGGAUCUGGCUUCGGGACGCGUCUCUGGAAGCGAUCACAGUAAUUUCCUAUUUGACGAAGACAAGCUUCAGGAGACGCACGAUGAGGAAGGAUCUGAUUGGAUUAACAACAAGAUGAGGGAUCUCGCCAAGGCCAUUCGAGAUGACAAUCCCGCUCUCUUAGUCUCAUUGUUCAAAAGUGUUCAAGUGGAGGCUCCAAUCGGAGCAGAUCCGAAGGACAAGGAGACUGGAGAUCUCAAAUCCCUAGAUCCAGGAACCCUAGUGCGUCUCCUCCACCUAGCUUGCAAGAUGGAUUCAGCAGAGUGCGCAAAGGUUCUGAUCGAAGGAGGAAUUGGAGUAGCAGCCAGCGUAAAUGAGAGGGACAGGUCGGGGCGAACUCUGCUGCAUGUUGCGGCGGAGAUGCACUCAUCAAAGUGCAUCAAUCUGCUCCUACAGAAGAAUGCCCGAACAGAUCUAAGGUCAAAUGACGGGAGAUCACUUCUCGCUCUUGAGAUCGCCUUGUCAAGUGCAAGGAUGCAGGUCGAUUGGUCACCAAACCAGCCAAUUGAAGAGUUGCUGACUAUUCUGAGAGAACUGGACAUGAAUGCAAUCAGAUUGCUAGCCGAGAAAACUAGAGAUGUCGCAGAGGUUGCCUACACAAAUGCUAUGGAAGGGCGAGUUGUUGCACUGGCUGCAUUGCUUCUGGUGACCAAGGAGAAGGUCACGGCGCCAGUAGCCAUAACCAGCCGAAGGGAAGGCAUGAAGAAGAAUAGAACAUUAUAUGGUUCACUGUUUGAUGAGGCUCUGGCGCUGGGUGAGGGGGCAAUUCAGGUUAGACUCAGACAAUGCAGUGGGGAUGGCUCAAGUGAUAGUAGUGAGCGGAGAAAAGCUUUACUACGUGAGAUCGAGCUACUCCAGUUAUUUGGUGCUGUGUCAUACAGCGACUCAAAGGACAAGAAAAGCAUGCCACCUCUCCUUCGGGCUUCCCAGGCUCACGACGAGCCUGUCAUAAAGCUGCUACUGAAGGGUGGUGCCAACACGAAUGAAUCCGAUUCUGAUGGGAACUCCUCACUUCAUUGGUGCCUCACUGGUAGCUCUAGUUCGCAGGAUCUCAGGAUUAUGUUGCUCCUGCUGAAGAAUGGUGCUGCAGUGUCCCAUAAGAACAGAUUAGGGCUCACGCCAGUACAUGUGGCUGCAGCUAAAGGCAAAUCUCAGGCACUUCAACUGCUGCUUCUUCAUGCCCCUGAGUGCGUAGACAUUGUGUCUGAGAGAAAGGAAACUCCGCUAUUUUUUGCUGUGAAGAGUGAUUCUCUUGCCUGUGCACAGUUCCUCUUGCACUCUGGAGCUAAUAGCCAGGUUCUCAACCUCCGGAGGCAAAGACCAAUUGAUAUGGCAAAAUCACAGGACAUGCGUUUCAUUCUUAAUCCAGCAAACCAGGGAUUUUGUAGCCGUUUUAGCCCUUCUAAAGAAGAUCUCCUACUUUCGUUACCUAAAGAUGAGUUCACUGAGGACAUGUAUGAAGAGCUUCUUGAGUUGGGUGAAACUGGAGUUAGUAGAAGCAACCUUCAGUUGAAAACACCAGUAUGCCGCUACUACGAAUCCCAGAGUGGAUGCGUGAGAGGCGCCAAAUGCUUCUAUGCCCACGGGGAAGGUGAUAAAAAAAGAAGCAAGGUCUGUUCUGUUGAACUCAAGCAGACCCCAAAGUGUGUAACCAAGUAUCCUCUCAAGUUGAAGGGAGACUUGAAUCGGAAGGUUUUCGUGGGGGGUCUCCCACCUACGGUUGACUCUGCAGACCACCUCAAGGAGUUCUUCGAAGCAGAAUUUGGACCAGUAAAGGAAGCUGUUGUCAUUGGGACGCAAGCUGGCAACUAUAUGCAGUCCCGAGGUUUCGGCUUCGUCACCUUUGAACACGAGGAUAUGGUGGCAACCGCAAUACAAGCCCACUUUGUCAACAUCUUUGGUAAGAAAGUGGAGAUCAAAAGUGCUGUUGCAAAACCAGCCGAAGCUUUGAAAACAGCUGCUUUGCAGCAACAGCUCAUUCUGAAGGAACCGAACCUGCACAAUGACCCCCUCAAUGAAUCACCUGAAACGCUUGAUGAGCAGAGUCUUCCUGAUUGGUUCUUUAAAUUCAGGAAGUGGCUACCAGCUUUUCUCAAGGCAGCAACACAACGUCUCGGAGGAGAAUGGUAUCCUCUUUCCUCUCUUAAAGGCGACUUCAGGGCCACGUGCGGGAUGGAGCUUGAUCAUGUCUCUCUGGGCUUCCUCAAGCUUAGUGACUUCAUGCGAGCCCUUCCUGGUAUAUGCAGAAUGCGGAUCGUUCCUGUGGGAGCUGGCCCUGCGACUCACAUGGUCCUUUCCCCAUUGCUCUUCCCACACAAGCAUGUAAAACUGCUUCCACCAUCAUCACAGCAACAAGAGCAGUUGCAGCAGCCACCAGACUUGGAUGCGGACCUACACUUGAGUGAGCUUAUAGAAAGCCAGCUUGUUGACAGCUAUGCUGGGAAAAAUAGCUUAACAGAUGGUGGCAGUUCGAAGGUUUUAGACUUUGAUUUGCUUGGUUUAGGAUACACAAAUCAAACUAAUACAUGCUAUGGAGAUCAGCCAGAAGAAAGGGGAAAUAUAAGCGCUGGAUCGAGCUUUUCUUUGUUCCAGACACAGUGGGAUCGCUAUUUGCAGGGAAUGUGCAUAAUAUGUCACUUCCGGGAAGCUUCAUUGCAGCUCAUCCCGUGCUCUCAUAAAGUGUGUGGUGUCUGCAUGGUGAGGCGCACCUUCACGUCGUGUAUGAUUUGUGGUUCUGCUGUCUACGGAGUCAAGCCUUCACCCCCAUCUUCAGAGCCAGAAUGCUCGGAGAUGGGAACCAGCGGAGAGCAAUCUCUUUGCAUCCAGAGAUCCUUGUCCCCUUUCCCAAGCAUUGAAGUAGGAAAAGGUCCUGUGGAGCCUAAGUGCCGACUGAGAGUUGCUUGCCAAGGGGCUAGGGCAACAGUGAGCUGUUUACCUUGCGCGCACAGCAUUGCUUGCCGCCAAUGCAUACUCUCAUUUGCUAGGAUGCCUCAAAUAUGUGUUGUAUGCGGUUUCGAGGCGGAGCUCUUCCAAUUUUCUGAUGCAUAGAAUGAUCUAUAGUUUUUUCUUUUAUUUCUACAUGUCUGUAAUUUGUUACAUUAGGGAGGAUGGUAUAACGACCUUGUAAGCUACUGGAGGGGAGUCCUUCAAUUUUGUCAUGCUUGCAAGGUCUGCCGACUGUAAGUAUAUUGCCUUAGACUUUAACCUACUAACAUCACUCCUGUAAGCUUGUGGAGGAGAACCCAAUCCCUCCAAUUUUGGUACACUUGCAGGAGCAUGUAUGUAAAGUGAUACAUCCCUCAAUCAGAGGAAUAUUUGCAUAGAAAAUUUCUCUCUUUCAAGAGGUGGAAGGAACGUAAGCCUAGUGAGAUAAUUCUCUGGAGAAGCUCAG
Molecule: RNA transcript, 3731 nt
Organism: Ananas comosus (pineapple)
Lineage: Eukaryota; Viridiplantae; Streptophyta; Magnoliopsida; Poales; Bromeliaceae
Exons: 15
Source: RefSeq, a predicted model, not a curated record